GUGCCAGCCGCCGCGGUAAUACGUAGGUGGCGAGCGUUGUCCGGAUUUACUGGGCGUAAAGAGCGCGCAGGCGGUCGUCCAAGUCGCGUGUGAAAGCCCCCGGCUCAACUGGGGAGGGUCACGCGAUACUGAUCGACUCGAAGGCAGGAGAGGGUAGUGGAAUUCCCGGUGUAGUGGUGAAAUGCGUAGAUAUCGGGAGGAACACCAGUGGCGAAGGCGACUACCUGGCCUGUUCUUGACGCUGAGGCGCGAAAGCUAGGGGAGCAAACGGGAUUAGAAACCCUUGUAGUCC
This 292-nucleotide ribosomal RNA is filed under the name uncultured bacterium. RNAcentral describes it as "partial 16S ribosomal RNA". It matches the Rfam family "Bacterial small subunit ribosomal RNA", at positions 505 to 796 of the family's 1533-position model. The record is from RNAcentral.